Molecule: non-coding RNA, 12310 nt
Organism: Zonotrichia albicollis (white-throated sparrow)
Lineage: Eukaryota; Metazoa; Chordata; Aves; Passeriformes; Passerellidae
Source: RefSeq, a predicted model, not a curated record
UUCAGCAAAGAAGAAAUGUUGCAUUUCCAUGACCCUUGGCCUUAUCCUGCAGGCUGGGCUUUUCUCUGUCACACUAUCUGCAUUGCUACAAGGUCUAGGCAGUCCCUUGCCACAUGAUUUUUCAUGAAAUGGUAAGCCCUCGGGAAAGAACACAAUAUACAUACAUGGGGAGAAAAAGCACAGCAAUCAUUGCAGAGAGGAAAAACACAAAAAUCUUUUCAGAGCCAUCAUUUUUUUUCCUUCAGGUAUUUAUUUUUGGUGAUGUCUUAUCUAGGUGACAGAAAACACAGAUGACAAACAGCAGCAAACAGUGCAGAGACUGGCAGCUGUCUGCAUGAAAUAUGACAGGGUUUAUGCAACCAACUCUGGCUCAUUUCUCAACCCAUUAUUCAAGAAGUGUUACACACUGAACCUGCAUGACUCUGAUGACCAGCAGCAUACAUUCAGAUCACCUCCAGGGACAGCACGAGGGCUGCAAAUCCCCAGACCCAGGAUGGCAGGUGCUGACUGAUCACUGCUAAGCUUAAGCACAUAAACAUCACAGGCACAGGGAAGAGAUUCUAAACCAUCCCUGUGAGAUUGCCAGCUCCGUAUUUCCUCCCAACCAUCAAACUCUCGAUCAGCUCCUGACGCACAAGUUACUCCCUUCCUCCAAACCCCUCCAGGUGUUGACUCACCAUGAGGUGCAGAAAAUCUGCCAAGGCAGCUCCUGACACAGAUAGACCAGGAUACAUCACUGGGUUUGAGCAAAUAUUCUUUAUUUCUUGACAGAUUUUUUUAAUUUUUAAUGCACUUGCACCAUGAUGUAGAAGAAAUGCACUGUUAUUCUGUGUUCUCUGUGUACCAUCCAGGCAUGUCCUCAACAGAUCUACAAUGCCACUAGCUGGCAUAACUGCAUCUGAGGAGGUGAAUGAAACUUCCUGGCCUCUCCUUGUCAUGGAGUUUUAGAUGACAGAAUUACUCCAGCUCUACACAUUCUUUAAGGUCAAAAAGGCUGUUUCCAGAGUGCUUUUGCCAGGGACCCAGUUGCUCUCUGCUCAGAAACCUUUUGUUCUGUACCUAUGAGAAUUUCAACAGCCAAAACAAACCUGAACAGCUUAAGUCAUCAGAAGGAUCUUUUCCAAACACCUGGUGGGACUGAAGAUGUGGUCCCUGUUAUGAAAUGCUGGUGUAAAAUGCAGUCAAGUGCUCUCAAGCCUAAGUUAGCAUGAACUGGACAGCAAAAACUGGUGAUUCCUUACAAGCCCAAGUUAACAGAGAAGACUCCUAGCAGCUGCCAAACAAAAGCCAAGCUGGCAUUGUGGCUGUAGAUCCUCUGACAUGUAUUUAGAAGGUUUUUUGUGGGAAGAAUCACAUGAGGAAGAAGAAUGACCAGGAGAUGCCAGAGGGGAACCAGUGCUGGAGAAAUAAUGAGUCAUCUUAACAACACUGCCAAUUCUUUCCCUGCUGCUUUCUGACACAAAGGGAGCAAGUUCAGCACUUGCAGCCCCCAAGAGAGCUGCAUUUUGUAGCAGCAGCAUUUCCCUUCAACACUGAACUUUUUAUUCUGGAAAGGGCCCCUCCCUUAUUGCCGGUUUAAAUGAUGAUUGUCUUCCAACUCUGAUUCCUUUUCUGAAAACCUAAAAUAUUUUCCUCCUCUGAGGGGAGCAACAAUGACACCAUUACAUCUGACAGUCAAAACUCAAGUGAGGAAUAUAACCCAUGUUCUGGAUCCAGCUGUUACAGCCAAAUGGCUCAUAUCACUUUAUUAAUUAAGUUUUUUAAAAAUUUAUUUUGAAGCUACUAAGGCUUCUUAAUCUAUUAUUGACCUGCCAUUUCCCAGCAGGAGGCUCUUAAGGGUUGAAUCUAUGUAACAGGAAGCAAUCUCUCAAUCUCUAGCGUGUGCUUUCAAGAACAAAUUAAAAUUACUACUGAUAAGCCCCAUCUUAUCUUGAUGAAACAUUUAGGAAUAUGGGAAGAUAUGUAUUUUACCCAUAACUAUGCAGCAAAAUUGUUUGCUUAAUAAAUUCUUCCUUUUCUCAGUUUGCUGCAACAUCCAAACAGGUUAAGGUUAAAGAAUAAUUGUGUCUCAUUUCGAAAUAUGCUGCACAAUAAAUAGCCUUAAUUUACAAAAGGGUUGGAAUUCAGAGCCUUCUAGAAAUUUGAGUGCUUUUAAGAUGUCCUACUUUUUCUUACUCAAAAGUCUGGACAUGCAUUUUUUCACAGAUUUUCCUAUAAGCUCAUUUUUUUUUCAGAUUUUCUUAUAAGCUUAUAAUAAUUGCUUAUAAUUUUAUUUGCAGUGUUUUUUUUUCCUGUUUCCUGUGCAUCUGAAAGUCUGCCUUUUGGGAUAUAAUCCCUUUCUAAAACAAGAUAAACAUCUGAAAUUGCUCUUUUCAUGGUUCUUGCCCUUGAAGUCCUGUUUGUCUGCUCCACUGGUGCCUGCUCACAAUCCUCCACUUGCAAAUCCAAGGGAACAACAUUCAUCCUGAGCUCCAACAAACCCUUGUAAAUGAGUUCAGGAGUGAUGCUGUAGGUUCUGCUCACACACUGGGGAGUUGGGCUCCUCCAAGGUCUGUAAUGCUGCACCCUCUAGUCCAGAAGGCAAGAGUCACCGUGCUCAACCCCAAGAGCCAUCGCUCCCAGCAGCUUGGGGGUGGAGUAUCCAGUAGGUCACCACUUACCCUACAAACUGAGAGCAUGUGGCAUGGGCACUGCGUCAGUGUCCCAAAAGGAUGAAACUGUGAUCAGAACCAGUGACAAUAGCGCUGAGCUGAAGAGUUUAAAAUUUUUUGUUUCUUUCUUUUUUUUCUUUUAAAGAUAAAGCUAAGCAUGGACUUCCAUCACCUCUGUCUUGGGUCACUGGUGAAAUUCUCCAGUUUUCAGGUGUUGAAGCAGGGGAGUAGCUUUCCCUGCUAGUGGUUUAUGGAAAUACAUUAUGGAUCUGAGAGGUAACUAGUGCCCAAAGGAGAGUUUGCUGCCAAGGCUUUGCUGACAGGUGCAAGUACACCAACAGCUUCUGUGUGAGCUCUGCAGGUGUCCUGCUAGUUUUCAGAGCUUGUCUGAUAGCUUACUUCUGCCUCAUUUAACCUCAUUUAUUGCUGUAAAUCAUUUAUCUCUAUUUAACAUAACUCACAGUCUCUUUAACUUGACAGUGGAAAUAGACACUCACCUGGCUAAUCUUCAUAUAGAAUUCCCAGUUUAGAUUUUAUUUAACUUCUAUUAGUUCAAAUACUUUUAAGGAACCUGAAGGAAAUUUCUACUGAAAUGCCCUUGUGAAAGAUAAAAUUUAAUUUUUGAAAGAUAAACUACCCUUUUUUCAACUUUCAAACAUCCUUCAUUACUCACAUGUCAUCCAAUAUAAAUGUGAUACUGGAAUAAGCAGAAAAUAAAAGUUAAAAGGAAGCUAGACAAUAAAGUUUGCAUCAUAGAAAACAUUUUUAUAUUUGCAAAAUAAAAGGGAAAAAAAAGGAAAAUGGACUUCUGAAAUUUCCUCUGAGAAAAUGCAUCAAAAAAAUCUGAUCUUCACUUUUAACCUUGCUGUGAAUAAUGUCAGCUCUGGGUCAGCUUUUCAGUAGUGACCCCCACUCUCCCUCCUCUCCUCUGCCAACUGUUUCCCUUCCUUUCUUGGAUUCCACAACAGAGCUGGUAUUUCUCUUAUCUCCGCUAGCUUUUCCCAUAUCUAAACACAUAAUUUCCUCCCCUAACUCCCCCAGUCACCAGCUCCUGGUAGUGCAUGUACUCUCCAAGUAAUAAUUCUUGCUGAUCUUGGCAAGCCAUGUGGCUCUUCUGGCUCCUUUGCUCUCCAGAGCAGAACUGGGUGCAAAGCAACCAGGCUUGUACCAAAGCAUAUAUUUCCCAUAUUCUCUUUCCUAUGUUCUGUGUUGCAAAAAUCAGUCUGUAAAAUGUUAUUCUCUAUUAUUUCACUAGUGGCCAUGAAGUUUAUUUAGUUUUAUAGAAGAAACAAGUAUUUUAACCUCCUCUUUCUCUUUUGAAAAGGGCUUCAAUUUCAUAUUAUUAUUUUACUCUAAUUCAUUCCUUAAACUGUUAGGAUGUCAAAAAACAACACCUCCUCCACAUGUUUGCUAGAAAAAAUGUUUUUGGGAGACCUAUAAAAAUGAAGUAGAAAAGUGAUCUCAGACAUAGUAAGCAUAAGAAAGAAAUGCCCAAGAAUGCAUUCCUGUGUGCUACAAAAUAGGAAUUAACUUGAUAUUCAACAUUUCUAUGACUAGUUUGUUUUUUUGCCAAGGUUCUGGAGUGCCUGGGAGCUCUCACCAGAACAGGGCACUGCUGUGGGAGGCACUGUGCAAACAAACAGGAAUAAAAGAUACCUGAAAAUCUAAGUCACACAAUAAACAACUUGGGAUCUGCAUAGAUGUAAUUGCUGAAGUAAAAACCCUCAUUGUUCCGUCUGAUUUUCAAAAUAAAAUUCCAGCUGGUACAGAAGAAGGCCUUCCUUCAAGGACAGCAGAGUCUUAAAGUACUGGGCAUGAACUCAUUAGGCAAAAUGUCUGGCUCCUCAUAGUCCAGCCAGAACUGUGAAAUCCAACUAUUUAUAUUUGCAUUUUUGCAAUGGCUAUCAAGAUGGCAUUAUAAAAGAAAUCUAAAAGAAAAUUAAGUGGGAUAGAAGGGCAGCACUGCUGUGGAAACAAAUGUAGGAGUGACAUCAGAAGGUAGCUGUGCUUAGUUAUGAGACCAGACUCCUUACAGGAAAAAUGUGCUACCCUAGCCCGCAGCCAUGACUCUUGGAGGCUGUGGUUUCCCACCUAUCCAGUGGUAAUAAUGACAGGAAAUGAAUGCCACUGAUAUUUGACAAACAGUAUUAGGGGUUCCAGGUGAGGUACAAUGCUGGGCAUUUAAAGAGGUUGGUCUGGUUUGGAGUGGAUUACAGCUUAUUCCCUUGAGACCCAGAGAGAGAAGUGGGUGCUUAGACCUUUCUUGUCCAGCAAAUGGGAAGUUCCUCUUGAUUUAGAGGAAGUUUUUGGUAGAAACAGACUCUUUUUUAGCCUUUUUUCCUCUUUUUUUUUUCCUAUCCUCUUUGUGUACAUGAGGAUGCUGUAUACUCAAACUGGCUUUUUCCUGUUAAAAAGAAGAUAUGAGAAAGGUUUUCUACAUGCACAAGUCUAUUAGUGGCUGAGUGCAAAUUUCCUUGGAGGAGAAAACUUCACAAAAGGUUUGGAUCCACAGGUUAACUCUCAUUGGCUGUUAAAGCCUGACCAGUUGAUAGACAAAUCAAGAAUUUAAGCCAUUUUCUCUUCUAUUUCUUUAUCCUCAGAUGACCCAACAGAUUACCCAACUGGAGUAAAAACAUAAUAGCAUAAAUGUUCAUAAAACAAGGAAUAAAUGGUAGAGAAAAUUAUUUCCUUCCCACCUCCAGGGUAGUCCAUAAUAGUACACACAGCAAUGACAAUGUACAGUCCUGUACACACUCUGUUUCAGGCAACUUGUGGGGCUUGAAGCAUGGAGCAAAACAGAGAAUGGUUUGGAACUACAAAAAAGUAUUUCAGUUUCUGACAUUCCUCAUCUUCUGAGAUAAGCACUAAGCCACUUUUUGUCUAUCAGAUGCUGACCAUUUUACACAUAGUCACUAUCAAUCCGUAGGAAUCAAUCAGUAUUUUAUUGUAGAUCAAUCACCACUAGAGAUUUUAUUCAUUAGGUGUUCAGUUAAUCAUUUUAGCAUGAAAAUUGAUUUUGUUUACAAGAGGAUACCUGGAGCCUACUUGGGUAGGUGAGGUGAUCAACUUUUUAAGAAGCAGGGAAAAAUGAAGGGAAAUGCUAGAAUCAGUUUGGGUAGAUUAUAUUAAUCCUCUGACUCCAGUAAGAACAUAAUUUCAUCCAUGAUCUGAUUUCUGUAUCAAUAAGUACAUUCACUAUUUUACUAAAUUUUAUUUUUAAAAAGUCAUUUGUGAAAAAUAACAGGACAUUAUUUGUGCUAUUUUUUCAGGUUACUUGGGAAUUAACUUAUCAUGGCAGUAUUUCAUUUACCAGAAUUCUUUUCUUUGGUAUUUUACAAUUGAUCUGCCUGAUUGUUCAGGGAAUACAGCUCAGACUUAAGUACAAGUAAGAAAUCACUGAGAAAGCAGAAUUUUAAAUGCAACCAGGUUCUUUUAGCCCACAAAAUCAAGAAAAUUUUACAUAGAAUUUUUUUUCAACAGUUAAUUAUCUCCACAAAGUGAUCCGGACUUGUAACCUAGUCUUCUAAACGGACUCAUUUAAACCUCCCCUGUUUCUCCCAGCUGACAGAGAUUCAGCCUAAAGGUGCUGAAUGUGGCAGAGUAAGGUAGUUAAAACCACAACACAAAAUGACACCUUUCUUUCCAUGGAAUCGAUCUAGCAAUUGCUCUGUGUUGCUGUAAAAACAGAUUUUUUGGCUGAAUUACUUUGGCUACUUCUCUGCAUUAUGCAACACCCAGUAAGAGCAGAUAAACUAAGAUUACUUAGCAGUUGUAAUUAUUUAACCUAUGGGAUUUAUUGCAUCUGAAAAAUGAAGUCAGUUCUCUGGAGAAAACACACAGUUACUUAGAAAUACAUGUGAAAUAUUUGGGGUGAAGUAAUUCAUCUGGAAUGGUGAAAAUUUAAUUUCUGUAAUUUAGCCCUAGAUCUGUAACUGUACUUUGUUUCACAGGAAAUUUCAGGAAUUAUUUUAUUUGACUAGCAGUAUGGAAUCAAAACCUGAGAAUGUUGAAAAGAGGCUGGUGCUGGAAAGAGUCUGGUGCUGAAGCACAACAGCUGUGACCUACCCUCCCAGCAGAGCAUGCUGGUGGAACAGCCCUGGCUCCAGAGGAGUAACACUGGAGAACCAGCCCAGGGAAUUGUUAUGAAGAGCAAAAUUAAAGGGCACAUACAAAAUAUUUUGUUCAUUUGUGCUCCACAACUUUCUGCAUUAAAAAUUUUGGUCCUCAGAUUUCCAGCUAACCUAGGAGAUUCUAAGUUCUGUAGAUAACUACAUUUUUGCCUCCUAAGUCCUAAGCAAAUAAAGAUCUUUAAAACAUCGUCAAAAGUAAACAAACAUGUCUCUUAUAGCCACUCUGGUGAGAUUUACCAAGUUGUCAUUCUUUCAUGUCUCAUAAUCAUCUAGACAUUGGCAUUCUUGGAGCACAUAAAUGAGGAAGUCUUGCACACAAAGGGGCUAUGGGAGGUGGGUGAUGAAUCAGAUGCUGGAAUCUCACUGUAAAGCUGGUUUCUUUUCUUUUGAAAAAGCAGAAAUUCAGAUGGCAAAUACUUAAAAUUUUUGCACAAAAUGUUCUCUACUUCAAGUUUCUGGAAUCCAGCUCUCUCUAUUUUUUUGCAUUCCAUUGGGAUAUAGUUCUGUUUAAUAACAUCUUUCUCUUUCAAUGAAUACUGAAUUAUUGAAUAAUUUCAACAGAAAAGAUUGGAAGAGAUAGGCUGUACUGUGAGGCUAGAGUGUUUAAGAGGAAUGUGUGGGUUUAUAAUAUGUUAGCAGAGGGAAGAACUGACAGUGGGUCUUCACAUCUAUGCAAGGGCUGUAACCAUUGAGCUUAUGGCUGAAACAGUAGGAACAAUAUUAUUUAUCACAAACUUCCCUGCAAGGAAGAACCUAGUGGGGGAUUCCUUGCAGAAUGACAGGCCAGUAGUCUGCUGAGACUGAAUUGUGUCCCACUGGCCCACUUGAAGACUGCUUUUUACUAAGGGUUAGCUGUAAUAGAUACUACUUGUUUGUCUCUCCCAAGUACAAUUUAUGGCCCUCAAGAAUGCCAUUGAAGGUUAUGGGUUUCUUCAUUUCAACUGUGAUGAGGCUGAAUAAGUAUGCUUGAAUUUAUUUUUUCUUUUGGUGAAAUAUCUUCAGCUAAUAAUGAGGAUUUUGAACAUAGCUGAAUCUUUCCUGUACACUUCUAAGCUGCUGCUGGCACCCAGACAAGCACACAUCAUGGUAUUGGCACCGUGCUCCUGGCAGGAGGCUGGGACAUGUAGACUCCCACAACAGCAACAACCAAGAGUGCUCCAACACUUGCUUGGCCCAUAGCCACAAUGUGUUUUUGCCAUCUCCCUAGAAGCUAUCGAAAUCAGCUUCUAAAUGUUCCCAGAUUCUUUCCCCCGGGGAGAAGAAAUCUGAUGGUGACAUUGAAAGGCAAGAAUCCCACAGGAUUCUGUAUGUCAGCCUGUCACAGACCCCUUCAGCCAGAAAUAUUUCUUUUUUGUCUUAAUCUUUUAUGUGGCUUUUUUACAGCUUGAAAUAAUGUUUCCUAUCAGUUACAGAAAAUAAUAUAGUAUCCUUAUAAAUGUUUAUUUAUCUGUUCAGUAAAACAAUGAGAUCUGGGGCUAAAUGCUGCAGACAAAAAGGAGAUUGAAGUAGCAUGCACAGAGAUGCAGCUAAUACCUCUAAGCAAAUGUCAUGUUCACAGUACUCGUGGUGAAAUGGCAUUAGCCAGAGCAGUCUUUUCUCUCAUGUCUUCCAAACAAUCACUGUUCCUUUCUAAUCUGAAAUUCUUCCUAUCCUCUCAUUCUAUAGUGACUCUGUAGCUAGGCAGAAUUUUCAUUAAAUAGGCACACACUUGGCAGAAUAUCUUCAGCUAGGAUAUUUACAGAUAAAAUUUGUUUAAAAAAUUUAGCUUACUCUAAUGAAACAUUUUGUUCUCUUUCCUUUUACUUCACUCAAGACAAGCAUUCAAGAGGUUGAAGUGAAGAGGUCACAAGGAAACACCCUGUUACCUAUCAAUCUUUGGGGGAUCCCUUGAGAUACUCGGUGUAGUUACUCAGAAAGUCAAUGGUUCAUGAAACAAAAAUGUAGGUUAUGUUUAGGAAAACAUUUGGGCAGAAACUCAGCUCAUAUUGCAGGUAUUUAUCCAAUUUGAAAGAAAAUUGUUCCAAACAGUUCCUUGCACUUUAAGCCACUGAGUCACCAAUUUCUUCAUCAGCAGAAAAGCAGCUCCUAUGUAACACACAGCAAGGAAAUCAGAAAAUUUGCUAAAAAAGGGGUCACUACUACUAUUUCACUAAUGAUAUGGUGCAGGUUUUCAGGUGGCCCAUCCAUCAGACCAGUGCUGAUUUGUAGCUAGUAAGGACCUUUUCACAGCAAUAUUGUGACAGCAGCAGAUGUGAGCUGUCACGGACACUGAGCUGGGAUUUCUGAGCAAAAAAGCCUUGUUGGGCGCAUGCAUUACAGCCUAACAAUGCUGUACCUUGCUAAAUGAUGGGCAAAAUUAGUCACUUGCUAUAUGGCAUUAACAGGUCAUGCUCAAGGCUCUUGGUAUAUUUUCAUGGUCAUGAAAGAUUUAUUUCUCAGAUCACCUGCAUAUAAGACAAAUAUCCAUCACUUGAAAAGAGGAAUUUAAUUUGUCUGGACAAAAAUAACCUCAAAGGCUCUGGGAUCUCUGAAGAUAAACUCCUUGGUAUUUCUAACAAGCUAGAAAAAGAAGAGGAAAAAUUUCUGCCUUGGUCUAAUUAGAAUCUUGCCUUUUUGAUCCCCAUUUUCAAGAUGCUGUUUUUCAGGACCCAGUGAAUUUGGGCUUUGGUCACAUGGCAUGCAUGCCUGUGUGCAGGCAGGGAGCUGUGGAUGUUGCAGUGAAGGGAUCUCCUCACCAGGUUUUGGAGAGUGCAAAGCAGAGUCGGGAGCGGGGUUGCUGCAGCAUACUGAUACACCAGUGCUUAUCCAGGUGGGAAACAGCACAUUUCAGCGUUCCUGCUCUCGAAAGGAAGAAUACAGCCCAGCCCAGCACUCUGGAAGGUUUCCAAGUCCUUGCAGGCUGAUAGGGAGGCACAACACAUACAGUAUGUGUCUAGCUUAGGAACAGGAGGUUCUUGCUGUGCUAUAAAGUGAAGGUUGGGUCUCACAGAAAACUGGCUUUCCUCAAAGAUGAGGCAAUUUGUACUUGGAAGCAGUUCAGCAUUUAUGAAGGAUCCUCUCUGAUUGUAAUGAGCAAUGAUAUAAAGCUACUUUUUUAUUGCUUUUCUGUGGGAACUCAGCACAUCACUCCGGAUGUCCAGAGUUACUGAGGUAACCCUUGGGGGGGGCUCUGAAAUCCUGGAAUGUUGCCAGAAGUGCUUGGUGGUUGGAUUUUGACCCUGCACAGGAUGUGCCACCUGUAUGAGGACAAGAGGAUCACUUGGGGAUAAGUGGUGUAAGAAUUAAUUAUUCACAGGGUGAAAAUACAGGUUUUAGGAUUUUGGUAAAGGGGGUUUAUGGAGACAAGAUGGAGGAAUCAGGGCAUGUCUUGUCCUUCUUCUUUCUUCUUUCUUGUCAUCCAUUUUCUGUGGUGAUGCUGGCACUUUGGAAUUGGUUCAUGGUGAAUGUGCACUUAUUAAUAUGGGUGAAAGGUAGUGGGAAAUAAAGGUAAAUAUGAUGUACGUAGUUUUUAGUAUAAAGAUAGAUGAGCGCCCAGUGGGAGGUCAGAGUGCCCUUGGCUGCCUUGCUGGUCAGACCUCUGUCAGGCUGGAAGAAAAUUUUGUAGAUAAGAAAUAAUAAACAAUACUGAAGACUGAAAAUCUGAAGAGUGCAGACUCGUCCUUUGGAGCGCAGGCUGUCCCAAGGCCAUCCUACGCGUGACCGGGCAGAGACAGAAGCCGGGAAAUAUAACUUUUCAAAUUGAGUUAUAUUUUGCGUUUUUAAAAACUUCUUAGUUGAUCUUAUCGAGUAUAAUUUCCCAUUCUGUUUUCCAGUAAUUACUGAAAGGAAUCAGACUUCAUUGUGGGGUAUGUCAGCUCUGUGUGGCCUGGAACCAAAUUGGAAUAAAAAGAGGAAUUAUAUGGAGGACAGGGUAAUGUCUGCUCUAUAGUGGAAAUUCAGAUUGUGUAGUUUUCCUGCAAUGCCACAUGAUUUCUCCAUCCAAAUCCAACCCAGCAUGAUCCAAACCUUGUUUCUAAUAAAACAUAAGGUGAUUACUUGCUCAGCCCAGUCUGCUGCCAAACCCCUGUGAAAGAAAUGGUACCACGAGGGCUGAGCUUCACACCACUGUGACAGCAGGGGCUGGCAAAUCUGAUGGACAUCAAUUGCCUAAAGUGAGUUUAUCCCCCUUCUGAGCCAUGAAAAGGUUUUCUCAAAAACAAUUCCAGGCAAUAAUGGUUUUACAGACAGAAAUGUUGUGUUUCUUGAGACUGUACAUUGUACCUUUUUGAGGGAAAAAAUAAAGAAAAUGGACAGUUCUCAGGACAAUUCGAAGGACUUUUUGAACUUGGAAAGAAAUCCUUGUUAUGGUAACAAAAGAGUUACUUUAUCAUUUUUCCUGGGUGUAAUGUUUUAAGACAAAUAAACUUCCUGAUUUAAUUGUCAUUGCUAACUGGUUUUCAUUUUUUUUACCAAACAUGUGGGAAGAAUUAUAAAGUACUCUCUAUCAAUAGUAAAAGGCAGUAAAAAAGAGCUGAGUUACAAGGGGUAUAAGAGUGCAAAGCAAAAUUUUAGGGAAGCAAACUAGUGGAGCAAAGCUAGUACAAUUUUCUGAGAGAUGCUGUCAUUGUAUUUGGUUGCAACAGGGCAUCCCUGGAAUUAAAACUGAUGAAACAAAUGAAAGUAUCAAAUUAACUAAGAAUGUUUGAAACACAAAUUCUAUGGCAGUCCAAGAACUUCAGUAUGAGUAUUGCCUCAAAAAAGAUUGGAAAGUUAGAAUUUUGGCUAAUAAGAACAUGUGAGAUUCUUCUGGGUUAGUUUUACAGAACAUCAUAAAACAGAGGGCUAUAAAACCAGCAGUGCAUACAUAAUAACAGCUUACUGCAAACACUCUGUUUUAAGUUUAGAGGAAAAUUUGAUUUCAGAAGUAAAAGAAACAUCUGUGUUUCUUCCAAAUAACCCUAACUAGACAGUAUUUUAUGUAGUAAACAAAAUGGGAGACAAUAGCUUCUUUCUGACUACAGUAUGAUAAUAAACCUGAGUUUGAAAAAAUAAAUGUUUCAUCCUAAAAGAUUAUGACUUAGCAGGAAUAGCCAAUUACACACAUUUAGCUUUCUAGAACCACUUUAUGUGAUUAGAAAAAUGAAUACAAGGGAAUUAAUGCAUAUGCUCCUACAUUCCUCAAUGUAAUUUGUGCUCUAUACAUCUGUGUUUUAGAUGACAAAUUUUAGGGACCAGGGCUUUUGCAAAACAUCAAAUAAGCUGUUCAUCUAAGUAUAAAAGAACAGUAUUGUGUGACAAGAAAACUGCUGAUCAGAUUUAACUUUGGAAAAUAGCAUGGCUGUUCAUGUGGCUUGUAAAAAAGUGGGUGAGAUUUAAUUUUUUGAAAGAGUUUUGAGAUACAGGAAUGGCUCAAUGUGUGAGAAGAAUCCCCCUGGUAUCUGCCUAUGUCAAAUAUGGCUGCCAUGACUUUGCUUUCCAUUUUGCUAGAUUUCAAACCUUUGUGUUUAAAGAGAAAAAUCCAAAUAUUUCAUGUGGAACAGAAAAAUUGUA